This 270-nucleotide ribosomal RNA is filed under the name uncultured bacterium. RNAcentral's name for it is "partial 16S ribosomal RNA". It matches the Rfam family "Bacterial small subunit ribosomal RNA", at positions 29 to 278 of the family's 1533-position model. The record is from RNAcentral.
AACGAACGCUGGCGGCGUGGAUUAGGCAUGCAAGUCGAACGCGAAAGAGGGGGGCAACUCCUCGAGUAGAGUGGCGAACGGGUGAGUAACGCGUGAAGAACCUGCCUUCAACAGGGGGGAUAACACUCCCAACGGGGUGCUAAUACCGCAUGAGACCACGGAGCUGCAUGGCUCUGAGGUCAAAGGUGGCCUCUAUUUAUAAGCUACCGGUUGAAGAUGGCUUCGCGUCCCAUUAGCUAGUUGGCGGUGUAAAAGACCACCAAGGCGACG